Molecule: small nuclear RNA, 23 nt
Filed under: Arabidopsis thaliana (thale cress)
Lineage: Eukaryota; Viridiplantae; Streptophyta; Magnoliopsida; Brassicales; Brassicaceae
Description: snRNA_14425
Source: RNAcentral
UCGUCAUAUUAUUUCCAUGACUC